UACGAAGGGGGCUAGCGUUGCUCGGAAUGACUGGGCGUAAAGGGCGCGUAGGCGGCUUGUAUAGUCGGAUGUGAAAUUCCUGGGCUUAACCUGGGGGCUGCAUACGAUACGUAUGGGCUUGAGUGUGGCAGAGGAAGGUGGAAUUCCACGUGUAGCGGUGAAAUGCGUAGAGAUGUGGAGGAACACCGAUGGCGAAGGCAGGUCUCUGGGCCGUAACUGACGCUGAGGAGCGAAAGCAUGGGGAGCGAACAGG
This 253-nucleotide ribosomal RNA is filed under the name uncultured bacterium. Its description in RNAcentral is "partial 16S ribosomal RNA". It matches the Rfam family "Bacterial small subunit ribosomal RNA", at positions 524 to 776 of the family's 1533-position model. The record is from RNAcentral.